This is a non-coding RNA of Danio rerio (zebrafish), 458 nucleotides long. The record is from RefSeq and is a predicted model, not a curated record. Lineage: Eukaryota; Metazoa; Chordata; Actinopteri; Cypriniformes; Danionidae.
UAAAUCAUUAUCUUAAACAGAUUAAGGAUCAUUUUGGACUACACUUACAUUACUUUACAACUGCUUAAUGCAGUACUGAUGUAUCUAGUAGUUAAGUGGGUUUAACUAAUGUCACAUCUGUUUUUAUUCAUUUCAGAUGCAGAAACUUUUGACAUAUGAAUUCAUCUUGACUAAGGAACUCUUCACAGCACUGCAUCUGAACAGUCACAACCUCACAGAGCUGCACAACUGCCCCACUCAAGAUCAGUGUUGAAGCUGGAACCUCGUCUUGUGUACAGCAAAGGCAGAGCUGAAAAUUCACUGUUUGUCUUGUAUUGUGUGUGGCAAGACCUGGAAUAACACCUGGGAGCCCUCCAGGAAUUCCUGACACUUUACGCACAAGUCUCCUCAUGCUAACCGGAUUGCAAUAUGACAGUCUAGUCAGCAUAAACACCUGGACUCACCAAGCACACUUUGGU